This 525-nucleotide ribosomal RNA is filed under the name uncultured bacterium. Its description in RNAcentral is "bacterial SSU rRNA". It matches the Rfam family "Bacterial small subunit ribosomal RNA", at positions 8 to 509 of the family's 1533-position model. The record is from RNAcentral.
AGAGUUUGAUCCUGGCUCAGGAUGAACGCUAGCGACAGGCUUAACACAUGCAAGUCGAGGGGCAACGGGACGUAGCAAUACGUUGCCGGCGACCGGCGGAUGGGUGAGUAACGCGUAUGCAACCUACCCACGACAGGGGAUAGCCCGUUGAAAGACGGAUUAAUACCCCAUAAAACAGGGGUUCCGCAUGGGACUAUUUGUUAAAGGGUUCUCCGCGAGGGGGACAUCGGUUGUGGAUGGGCAUGCGUUCCAUUAGGCAGUUGGUGAGGUAACGGCUCACCAAACCGACGAUGGAUAGGGGAACCGAGAGGUUGGUCCCCCCACACUGGUACUGAGAUACGGACCAGACUCCUACGGGAGGCAGCAGUGAGGAAUUUUGGUCAAUGGACGGAAAUCUGAUCCAGCCAUGCCGCGUGCAGGAAGGCGGCCCUAUGGGUUGUAAACUGCUUUUGUACGGGAGCAAUAAGGUCUACGAGUAGAUUGAUGAGAGUACUGUACGAAUAAGCAUCGGCUAAACUCCGUGCC